AGCAAAGAUCUAAUAGCAUAUAUAGCUUCCACUGCUCUGCGACUCUGCCUUUAGAAAUGCACCACCUUCCUGUCUUAUUCCAGACACAGAGAGCAUAGCACUUUUCUUCCAAGGACCCACAACGGAUGCAGCCGGUGCAGGUCCUGGAUGAGAAGCAAGGUUGGCUUGCGCCAGGGGAAUCCAGAGGGCUUCCCCUCCCCCAAACAGACUGGGCAUGAGUGGGAAGAUCAGGAAAGCUUUCCAGGGCUUGACCCAUGAGCAGGAUUUGGACGUCUCCUUCGACGGUGAUGGCAAACACAACUCCAGAGCAGAGAUGGGAGAGAAUGUUCUCUGGGCUUUUCCAGCAAUGACAGAAGAAGACAGAGUCUCUGGUCAUCACUCUUCCCAGUUAGAGGAGAUUGUGGGCAGAGGAGGUGAAGAAAAGCAUGCACAUCUCUAACCAUCGGGAUGCAUUGGUGAGCACAUCACAAUGAGCAGAUCCACCACCUGCCUGAAGCCCCACACUAGGCAAACAAGAGCAGUGACUCGGAAGCCCCCAUCAUCUGCAGCACAUGAGAGAACUACAUCUCUAUGACUGCAAUCCCUAGUACCCUCCAGCCUGUAAUCCCAGUGGCUUGGGAGGCUGGGGCAGGAGGAUUGCAAUUUGGAGGCCAGCCUCAGCAACUUAACAAGGCCCUGAGCAACUUAGUGAGAUCCUGCCUCUAAAUAAAAUAUAAAAAGGACUGAGGAUAUGGCUCAGUGGUUAAGGACCCAUGGCUUCAAUCCCCAGUAUUUUUUUAAAAAUGUAUCUCUGCAGAUCAUAAUAUAAGAUUGCUUUCUGACCAUUAUCAAGUAGAAUAAGCCUUGUGAGGUAAAGUCCAGCAAAUUAUUCUGUAAGAGAUGAAGCAAUUUCUAGCCAGCAUUAGAACUCAGUUUCUAUAGGAUGGCAAAUUUUAAAUCUUUAUCCUACUGAUACUAUGUCAUAUUAUCUGCUUAAAUCUUUACCCCACUGAUAUUAUGCUCUUCCUGUUGUGAGCCACAUCUUUGAAAUAAAUUGCUUUUCUUAAAAUGCAAGUAAAAGUGUCUGCAUGCCAAUGAAAGAGCAACCGCAGUUAUAUGAAAAGUUUGAAAUUUUUGACAUCAUCAUUUCUGCACACAUAAGAACUGAAGUUAGUUGCUGUAUCCAACAUCAACAUCACUAUCCCAAUAUAAACCUGAGAAAAUUUUGCAAAUCUUCAUCCUGGGUUACUUUUGGAAGCAAAGAUCUGCCUGUGAC
Molecule: long non-coding RNA, 1255 nt
Filed under: Marmota monax (woodchuck)
Lineage: Eukaryota; Metazoa; Chordata; Mammalia; Rodentia; Sciuridae
Source: RNAcentral